GAACAUCCGUGCAAACUCUCUGCUGCCAUUUAUAUUGCUGUGUGCAUGGACUGAAACAUUGGCUGCGCCUCCAAAAAAACCCAUAACAGCGCCUUUGUCUUCUUCGGGGCGGCAGCUUCAAGGUGCAGUCCCGGAGAAGGCAAGACUGUUUGCCAACAAACUGGCUCCAGUGACGAACGGUGCUCAACGGUUUUUUCAACACCUGGGACUUCCAUCUUUCCUUGGAGGAGGAGGACGAAAAAGGAGAGACCCGAAGGGCGACAGAACAGGAAGGAAUUGUAGAAAAGACGGUGACUGCGGAAACCCAGACAUGUUUUGUUGUGUGGCGAAUGGUCAAAAUGAGAAAGUUGGAUUAUGCAAAGUUAAACCUUUAUUUCGGCAAACCUGUUCACCAGACACUAACUCAAAGGGUCUGCACCUAUAUGAAUGCCCUUGCCAACGAGGUUAUACUUGCUUCAUAUCCAGCUCUACUGCUCAGACAGGUACUUGCAUUUUACAAACGUGAUAUUGAAGGUGUAAUGCCGAACACAGCGCACUUUCAUUGAACUGCGUACCGGUUGAUGUCGUGGAGGUGAGAGUUUAUAGGGAGGAAAUAAAAAUAUAUUACUUCGCUU
Long non-coding RNA from Rhipicephalus microplus (southern cattle tick), 614 nucleotides. Lineage: Eukaryota; Metazoa; Arthropoda; Arachnida; Ixodida; Ixodidae. The record is from RefSeq and is a predicted model, not a curated record.